This 904-nucleotide ribosomal RNA is filed under the name uncultured organism. Its description in RNAcentral is "bacterial SSU rRNA". It matches the Rfam family "Bacterial small subunit ribosomal RNA", at positions 275 to 1182 of the family's 1533-position model. The record is from RNAcentral.
GACAACGGGUAGCUGGUCUGAGAGGAUGGUCAGCCACACUGGAACUGAGACACGGUCCAGACACCUACGGGUGGCAGCAGUCGAGAAUCAUUCGCAAUGGGGGAAACCCUGACGAUGCGACGCCGCGUGGAGGAUGAAGGCCUUAGGGUUGUAAACUCCUGUCAAGAGGGAAUAAGCAAGUGACGGUACCUCUAGAGGAAGGGGCGGCUAAUUCCGUGCCAGCAGCCGCGGUAACACGGAAGCCCCGAGCGUUGUUCGGAUUCAUUGGGCGUAAAGGGUGCGUAGGCGGCGCGGAAAGUCCGGCGUGAAAGGCAGAGGCUCAACCUCUGGACUGCGUUGGAUACUUCCGUGCUUGAGGACUGGAGGGGAGACUGGAAUUCACGGUGUAGCAGUGACAUGCGUAGAUAUCGUGAGGAAGACCGGUGGCGAAGGCGAGUCUCUGGACAGAAUCCUGGACGCUGAGGCCACGAACGCUGGGGGGAGCGAACAGGAUUAGAUACCCUGGUAGUCCCAGCAGUAAACGAUGUGAGCUUGAUGUGGGGGGAUUCGACCCCUUCCGGGUCGAAGCGUACGCGAUAAGCUCACCGCCUGAGGAGUACGGCCGCAAGGCUAAAACUCAAAGAAAUUGACGGGGACCCGCACAAGCGNCGGAGUAUGUGGCUUAAUUCGAUGCAACGCGAAGAACCUUACCUGGCCUUGACAUGCAUUGUGUCGUCGGUGAAAGCCGGCUAGUCCUGGAAACAGGACGCUUUGCACAGGUGCUGCAUGUCUGUCGUCAGCUCGUGUCGUGAGAUGUUGGGUCAAGUCCCGCAACGAGCGCAACCCUUGUGGUCAGUUACUAACCGGCUUAGCCGGAGGACUCUGGCCAGACUGCCCUGUCAAACGGGGAGGAAGGUGGGGACGA